This 466-nucleotide ribosomal RNA is filed under the name uncultured bacterium. RNAcentral describes it as "partial 16S ribosomal RNA". It matches the Rfam family "Bacterial small subunit ribosomal RNA", at positions 28 to 507 of the family's 1533-position model. The record is from RNAcentral.
GAUGAACGCUGGCGGCGUGCUUAACACAUGCAAGUCGAACGAUGAAGCCCAGCUUGCUGGGUGGAUUAGUGGCGAACGGGUGAGUAACACGUGAGUAACCUGCCCUUAACUCUGGGAUAAGCCUGGGAAACUGGGUCUAAUACCGGCUAGGAGCGUCCACCGCAUGGUGGGUGUUGGAAAGAUGUAUCGGAUUUGGAUGGACGCGCGGCCUAUCAGCUUGUUGGUGAGGUAAUGGCUCACCAAGGCGACGACGGGUAGCCGGCCUGAGAGGGUGACCGGCCACACUGGGACUGAGACACGACCCGGACUCCUACGGGAGGCAGCAGUGGGGAAUAUUGCACAAUGGGCGCAAGCCUGAUGCAGCGACUCCGCGUGAGGGAUGACGGCCUUCGGGUUGUAAACCUCUUUCAGUAGGGAAGAAGCGAAAGUGACGGUACCUGCAGAAGAAGCACCGGCUAACUACGUG